Molecule: ribosomal RNA, 301 nt
Filed under: uncultured bacterium
Lineage: Bacteria
Description: partial 16S ribosomal RNA
Rfam family: Bacterial small subunit ribosomal RNA
Source: RNAcentral
CAGUCGCCACGGUAAUACGUAGGGUGCGAGCGUUAAUCGGAGUUACUGGGCGUAAAGCGUACGCAGGCGGUUCGUUAAGACAGAUGUGAAAUCCCCGGGCUUAACCUGGGAACUGCAUUUGUGACUGGCGAGCUAGAGUAUGGCAGAGGGGGGUAGAAUUCCACGUGUAGCAGUGAAAUGCGUAGAGAUGUGGAGGAAUACCGAUGGCGAAGGCAGCCCCCUGGGCCAAUACUGACGCUCAUGCACGAAAGCGUGGGGAGCAAACAGGAUUAGAUACCCGCGUAGUCCCUGUCUCUUAUAC